This 482-nucleotide ribosomal RNA is filed under the name uncultured bacterium. RNAcentral's name for it is "partial 16S ribosomal RNA". It matches the Rfam family "Bacterial small subunit ribosomal RNA", at positions 30 to 507 of the family's 1533-position model. The record is from RNAcentral.
AUUGAACGCUGGCGGCAUGCUUUACACAUGCAAGUCGAACGGCAGCGCGGGGCAACCUGGCGGCGAGUGGCGCACGGGUGAGUAAUAUAUCGGAACGUACCCAAGAGUGGGGGAUAACGUAGCGAAAGUUACGCUAAUACCGCAUACGAUCUAAGGAGGAAAGUGGGGGAUCGCAAGACCUCAUGCUCCUGGAGCGGCCGAUAUCUGAUUAGCUAGUUGGUGAGGUAAAGGCUCACCAAGGCGACGAUCAGUAGCUGGUCUGAGAGGACGACCAGCCACACUGGAACUGAGACACGGUCCAGACUCCUACGGGAGGCAGCAGUGGGGAAUUUUGGACAAUGGGCGCAAGCCUGAUCCAGCAAUGCCGCGUGAGUGAAGAAGGCCUUCGGGUUGUAAAGCUCUUUUGUCAGGGAAGAAACGGUAGAGGCUAAUAUCCUUUGCUAAUGACGGUACCUGAAGAAUAAGCACCGGCUAACUACGUG